RNAcentral lists this ribosomal RNA (250 nucleotides) under uncultured bacterium. RNAcentral's name for it is "partial 16S ribosomal RNA". It matches the Rfam family "Bacterial small subunit ribosomal RNA", at positions 810 to 1058 of the family's 1533-position model. The record is from RNAcentral.
UGGAUACUAGGUGUGGGAGGUAUCGACCCCUACCGUGCCGGAGUUAACGCAAUAAGUAUCCCGCCUGGGGAGUACGGUCGCAAGACUGAAACUCAAAGGAAUUGACGGGGACCCGCACAAGCGGUGGAGUAUGUGGUUUAAUUCGAAGCAACGCGAAGAACCUUACCAGGCCUUGACAUUGACUGAAGCAUGCAGAGAUGUAUGUGUCUCUUCGGAGACAGGAAAACAGGUGGUGCAUGGCUGUCGUCAG